Gossypium raimondii (Peruvian cotton) is the source of this 107-nucleotide small nucleolar RNA. It matches the Rfam family "Plant small nucleolar RNA R71". Rfam says of the family: R71 is a member of the C/D box family of snoRNAs containing the C (UGAUGA) and D (CUGA) box motifs. Multiple nearly identical copies of this snoRNA have been identified in Arabidopsis, and it is thought to function as a 2'-O-ribose methylation guide for 18S ribosomal RNA. NCBI's taxonomy places the organism in Eukaryota, Viridiplantae, Streptophyta, Magnoliopsida, Malvales, Malvaceae. The record is from Rfam.
AGUCCAUGCAUUGGACAUUUCCAAAGUAAUUCUAUAAAUUGUUCCCAAGCUUCAUAUAGUGAUUCAUCCUCCGAUUGUCGAAAAGAUCUGAUGUCAUUUCUAAGCUU